AAGAUAGUGUAACAUCUGCGGAAAUCACCAACUAAAAUCACCCAUUAAAAAUCGCUUUCAAAAUCUUUUUACCGUUAAGCUCCCGGAAUUCCAAAAUCUUCCCGGCGAUUUCGCCGUCCCGGCACCCAAGCCGACAGCCAUCAUUUUAUCCGUGCCCGUAAUUUUUGCCGUGUGCCGUCGUCAGACGCCGCGCACGUGCUCCGACCGCGUGCCGCGAACGGUGCCGGUUUCCCCCCUCUUUUUCUUCUCUUCCCCCCUUUUUUUCUUUUUCUUUUUUCCUUCUUCCUUUCUCCUUCUUCUUCUUUCUUCUUCCUCCUUCCUUCU
Molecule: long non-coding RNA, 324 nt
Filed under: Setaria viridis
Lineage: Eukaryota; Viridiplantae; Streptophyta; Magnoliopsida; Poales; Poaceae
Description: long non-coding RNA (SVIR_LNC010327)
Source: RNAcentral